CCAUCUCUUACCCAUGUCUUUUGAGUACCUUACGUUUCCUCGGCGGGUCCGCCCGCCGAUUGGACAAUUUAAACCACUUGCAGUUGCAAUCAGCGUCUGAAAAAACUUAAUAGUUACAACUUUCAACAACGGAUCUCUUGGUUCUGGCAUCGAUGAAGAACGCAGCGAAAUGCGAUAAGUAGUGUGAAUUGCAGAAUUCAGUGAAUCAUCGAAUCUUUGAACGCACAUUGCGCCCCUUGGUAUUCCAUGGGGCAUGCCUGUUCGAGCGUCAUUUGUACCUUCAAGCUUUGCUUGGUGUUGGGUGUUUGUCUCGCCUCUGCGCGCAGACUCGCCUCAAAACAAUUGGCAGCCGGCGUAUUGAUUUCGGAGCGCAGUACAUCUCGCGCUUUGCACUCAGAACGACGACGUCCAAAAGUACAUUUUUACACUCUUGACCUCGGAUCAGGUAGGGAUACCCGCUGAACUUAAGCAUAUCAAUAAGCGGAGG
RNAcentral lists this ribosomal RNA (487 nucleotides) under Phoma sp. JX1203. RNAcentral describes it as "eukaryotic LSU rRNA". The stretch from base 118 to 271 matches the Rfam family "5.8S ribosomal RNA". The record is from RNAcentral. Lineage: Eukaryota; Fungi; Ascomycota; Dothideomycetes; Pleosporales; Didymellaceae.